AGAAAAUAUUAAAGAAGGUGAGUAUCAGAAUGAAUUAAGAUGUGUUAAUCAUGCCUUGGAAAAAUAGUUUGAAAUGGACUGUGUCUUUACUCUUCAUUAAAGCUGCCAUGCAGUGAGCAAUUUCCCCACCAAGUAUUCCUGUCAUGCUGUCCUGUGCUGCCGCAAGCACAGCACAACAGCAACAACUGGCCAGGCAAAGCAGGGAAGUGCCAGAAAAGGAGAUUUCUUGGCCUGAUGUAAAAAUCAUAAAAUGGAGUGGGCAAGCUGUCCAAUGCCAACCCUGUGUCAUCCUCAACUACAAGGUGACUGGGUCCAGAGAAAACAGGAUAAUAAUGUAUCUUCCUGUUAUUGAACACUAAAGACUCCAUCAAAAGACUGUCAUUUAGGAAAAAUAGCAUCUCAAAGAUGUCUUCAAGGUGGAGAAAAGUAUGUUCAAGAAGAUAUAGGAACUGGCCUCAUUUCUUUGUUAGUAGACUAAAGGAUGACUAUCUGAAGGAUCAAUCAAACAUGACUGUAUUUUCCUUCCUGUUUCCUUCUUAGUAGAUCUGUGUCAAUCUCUAGACUCAUUUGCCAGAGAAUAAAGAACA
Long non-coding RNA from Perognathus longimembris pacificus (Pacific pocket mouse), 587 nucleotides. RefSeq lists it as uncharacterized. The transcript has 3 exons. The record is from RefSeq and is a predicted model, not a curated record. Lineage: Eukaryota; Metazoa; Chordata; Mammalia; Rodentia; Heteromyidae.